RNAcentral lists this long non-coding RNA (1104 nucleotides) under Canis lupus familiaris (dog). RNAcentral describes it as "lncRNA (ENSCAFG00040011619.1)". The record is from RNAcentral. Lineage: Eukaryota; Metazoa; Chordata; Mammalia; Carnivora; Canidae.
AUGCGGGUGGGCGCCCUCCCACCCCUCUGGCCUCUCCCCUGCUCUGCGGCUCCCGCCUGGCGGUCCCCCCACCCCCCGCCCUGGGAGGCCCAGGACCUGGCUGACUUUGCCCCCCACAGACGCAAGCCUCGACUCAGGGCCCGGUGGGGGCAGCUCCGGGGACCCCCAGCCCCCAGGCAGCGGGCCCGGCUCCUCAGACCCCAGGCGGCAGCCCGAGCGGGCAGGUGUCCUGCACUGGGGAGCCCGCCCCCGAGACCGCCAAGCCCAGCAAGACCCUGGACCCCAGGCACUGAGCUAGUUGACGUGGGUGAAGUCGCCAGGCGUGGGCACCGCUCCGUAGCGUUGCGUCACUUACUGGGGUGUCACUGCGAGGCGUCCCCACCGGCCUCUGGGUGCUGGGUGCACACAGACCUGCCAGGCUCCGCUCACCCUGCAGGGCCCCCCGCUCUGCAGGCCCCUCACCCUGGGGAGCAGCCCCCGCUGCCGGGAGCCCACCGCCACCACCAGCCAGGCCUCACCCCUGCCCGGCCCUCCCGGCUGCAGGGAGCCCUCGAGGCCUGGGCGAGCAGCCCCCCACGGAGCCCAGGAAGCUCAGGAGCUCUGGGGCCUCCCGCUCCCUCCCAGGAGCCGCCCGGGGCGCGGGCCAGGUCCCAGGCAAGAUGUGGGGUGCGUUUAGUGGGGAGCCAGGGCACGGCCCGAGGAACUCCCCUGGCUGGAGCACUGUUGGGGAGGCCUGAGGCCCCAGAAGGCCACAGGGACAGGAAGGAGCAGCGUCCUCUGGGGCCACCUGCCGUGGCUGCUCCGGGGCCACCGAGGCUCAGGGUGCACGGCACGCUGUCCCUCGGCCACCACAGGGAGGUGCUUGGUGCCGGCGUCCAGGGCGGGAAGUCCAGCACCUUCCCUGGGCUGGAGAAGCCCACCCUGUCCGCGACGUGGCACGCUGCAGGGGUGAGCCCCCCCGGAGCCUGCGGGCGGGACCCCGGGCCCCUUUCCCACAGGACCCUCCGUGACUGGCGAGGAGAGAGCCCCCAGGGAGGGCAGCCACAGGCGGGAAGCUGGGGACCUCCUGGGGGCUGCUGCACCUUGGGGGGCUUCUCCUCCUGA